CGGGCAAACUCCCUGGGGGAAAAGCCAAGGGAUAAGGAAAAGCUGACCUCGUUUCAGAGCAAGAGGCAUAAAAUCUGAAGUACUGCAGGUGCUGCUCUUUUAGCCUGGGCCCCAGAAUAAACACCACUAGAAGAAACACCUAAUGGCCUCCUUGCAGACCAGCAGCGUGAUGCAAAGCUAACCCGGCGAACCUGCACAUGAAUGAGAUCCAGGACUCUGAGGCCCUAAGGAAUGGCAGUGAUGAGGUAGGAGUCUUGGUCCUGAAUGAUUUCAUGAAGCAAUCUCCUUUUAUGUCUCUCAUAAAUUGUAUUGGAGUGUG
Molecule: long non-coding RNA, 319 nt
Filed under: Homo sapiens (human)
Lineage: Eukaryota; Metazoa; Chordata; Mammalia; Primates; Hominidae
Description: HSALNT0296703
Source: RNAcentral